CCCUAUGUCCAAUACUACCUGGAACACAUCCUCUCUCCUCUGCUGUUGGAAGCUAAACAGAGCCAGGCCUGGUUAGUACUUGGAUGGGAGACUGCCCAGGAAUAUCAUGUGCCUUAGGCU
Molecule: ribosomal RNA, 120 nt
Filed under: Procavia capensis (Cape rock hyrax)
Lineage: Eukaryota; Metazoa; Chordata; Mammalia; Hyracoidea; Procaviidae
Source: RNAcentral